Molecule: ribosomal RNA, 448 nt
Filed under: uncultured bacterium
Lineage: Bacteria
Description: SSU rRNA
Rfam family: Bacterial small subunit ribosomal RNA
Source: RNAcentral
AGAACGAACGCUGGCGGCAGGCUUAACACAUGCAAGUCGAACGGUUGUAGCAAUACAGCAGUGGCGCACGGGUGAGUAACGCGUGGGAACGUGCCUUUCAGUACGGGAUAACGUCGGGAAACUGACGCUAAUACCGUAUAUUCCCUCCGGGGGAAAGAUUUAUCGCUGAAAGAUCGGCCCGCGUAAGAUUAGGUAGUUGGUGGGGUAAUGGCCUACCAAGCCUACGAUCUUUAGCUGGUCUGAGAGGAUGAUCAGCCACACUGGAACUGAGACACGGUCCAGACUCCUACGGGAGGCAGCAGUGGGGAAUAUUGGACAAUGGGCGAAAGCCUGAUCCAGCCAUGCCGCGUGUGUGAUGAAGGCCUUAGGGUUGUAAAGCACUUUUGUCAGGGAAGAUAAUGACGGUACCUGAAGAAUAAGCACCGGCUAACUUCGUGCCAGCAGCCGC